RNAcentral lists this ribosomal RNA (427 nucleotides) under uncultured Methylococcaceae bacterium. RNAcentral's name for it is "partial 16S ribosomal RNA". It matches the Rfam family "Bacterial small subunit ribosomal RNA", at positions 355 to 774 of the family's 1533-position model. The record is from RNAcentral. Lineage: Bacteria; Pseudomonadati; Pseudomonadota; Gammaproteobacteria; Methylococcales; Methylococcaceae.
UGGGGAAUAUUGGACAAUGGGCGCAAGCCUGAUCCAGCAAUGCCGCGUGUGUGAAGAAGGCCUGCGGGUUGUAAAGCACUUUAAGCGGGAAAGAAGGCCUCAAGGCUAAUAUCCUUGAGGAUUGACGUUACCCGCAGAAUAAGCACCGGCUAACUCCGUGCCAGCAGCCGCGGUAAUACGGAGGGUGCGAGCGUUAAUCGGAAUUACUGGGCGUAAAGCGCGCGUAGGCGGUCCGUUAAGUCAGCCGUGAAAGCCCCGGGCUUAACCUGGGAACUGCGGAUGAUACUGGCGGACUAGAGUGUGGCAGAGGGUGGCGGAAUUUCCGGUGUAGCAGUGAAAUGCGUAGAGAUCGGAAGGAACACCAGUGGCGAAGGCGGCCAUCUGGGUCAACACUGACGCUGAGGUGCGAAAGCGUGGGGAGCAAACA